This 414-nucleotide ribosomal RNA is filed under the name uncultured bacterium. RNAcentral's name for it is "bacterial SSU rRNA". It matches the Rfam family "Bacterial small subunit ribosomal RNA", at positions 29 to 440 of the family's 1533-position model. The record is from RNAcentral.
AGUGAACGCUGGCGGCGUGCCUAACACAUGCAAGUCGUGCGAGAUUUUGCAGAGUAUCGCGGAGUCUAGCGGCAAACGGGUGAGUAACACGUAGAAACCUGACCUUAAAAUGGGGAAUAUCUCCGAGAAAUCGGAGUUAAUACCGCAUAAGACCACAGUUUGGCAUCAAACGAGGGGUCAAAGCAUUAGUGCGUUUUGAGAUGGUUCUGCGGCCUAUCAGCUAGUUGGUGAGAUAAUGGCUUACCAAGGCUAUGACGGGUAUCCGGCCUGAAGGGUGACGGACACAUUGGAACUGAGACACGGUCCAGACUCUUACGGGAGGCAGCAGUGGGGAAUUUUGGACAAUGGGGGAAACCCUGAUCCAGCAACGUCGCGUGGAGGAUGAAGGCCUUAGGGUUGUAAACUCCUUUUAGA